UAUAGGAGGCCAAUGUUAGAUCUUUCUGAAAUGCAGAGAUUGUACUAUACAUUCCUCUCUUGAGAACUUGCAACAUUUUGGAGGGUAAUCUCCACUUUGUUCUUGGGAAUAGUUCCAGUGCUGGUCACCUGGUAUUCUUUUAGCAGAUAUAACAUCAGUUGGUUACUAGUGAACCAAUUGUCAAUUGUGACAAUUAGGUUACUUUUUAAAUAGAUGGAACAAGUCUGUUUACAACAUCAGAUAGUUUAUUACUGCAGGAAUAAAAGCCUACUGGCAGAGUUCCAGGAUAAAUUUCUAACUUCAAGGUAUAAAAUGACUUCACCUACCAGAGGAUAUAUUUUUACACCAUACUUGUCAAUAGGGCAUAUGAUAGAUGGACCUGCAAAUAAUAUAAGGAAAAUAUUAUAGCUCCCAACCUGCUAGAUUCAAAGGUUAAAAUAUGGAUAUCUGCCUUUUGGGCUUCUUUUGUAAGCUAAUAGAGAGGUUGUGGAAUUUUACUGUAUCUUGCUAUCUAAAGGCGACAAAAGCCUAUAAUUCCUAGGAAUCCCCUUAGCUGUUUUAGAGUCUGGGCUGUGGGAAGGAAAGAAUUGGUUUAAUUCUUUCUUCCCCCAGCUUUUAGGUCCCCUUGGAUAUGAUAUGGCCCAAAUAUUUUACCUCAAGGCUGCAAAGUUGUGCCUAGAUCUAGAAAUCUUAUAAUUCCUGUCUGCCAAAAAAUUUAGCAGAGCACAGGUGCCUUAGCUAGAAAGCUCUUCUGAGGGGGCACAUAACAAUAUGUCAUCUACAUAUUGUAAGACUGUGACUUGGGAAAAACUACAGUGUUUAAACAAGAUAAAAUAUCUCUCCCCAGGAGAGGAACUGGACAUUUAGGCAUAAUUAAGAGGAAUGUGUAAAAAGAAAACUGUCCCAGUUAUAGCCCAAAAGUUUUGAGAAAUAGUUACCUCCUCUCAAUAGUGGCUACUUUCACUGAGGUAUGCCAUCUGGAAGGAAGGCCAGGGUUCAAAAGAAGGACCAAGAGACAUGCACCAGUGUCCAGCAAUAGGUGGUUUGUUUAUCCCUGUAGUCAUCAUUACCUGGGGCUUCUCCAUGGAGACGACUGUCCAGCCAGAGGGAGGGCACAGAGAGUGCCCUGGGGCCCUUCAGUCUUGCUGCACUGUCUGGUAAGAUGGGUCUGUGCUCUGGGGCACCCACCUCAGUGCAGUCUGACUCCCGCUGGCCACCUUGGCAGUUGGGGCAUGACUUACAGGAAUUCUGUGGCAGUCCCUCUUAAGGUGGCCUGGCUCCACAGCAGUGCAGGUGAGAUUAGUAGCUGUUGAGCUCUCUUCGGGCCCCCCAAACCAAACAUAGCAUUGUUCCUUUAAGGCUGUGAUUAAAGCAGCCUCAUCCUUUUGGUCUCUGUUUUCUUCCCUUGGCUUCUUCCAGAUCUUGAUUAUAAAAUACUUAGAAGCCAGUUUUGACUAAAGUAUCAAGUGAACUAUCUGGAGCAAAAGCCAGAAAAAUAUUAAAUGGCUCCUUUUUUUGUUUUUUUUUCCUUAGUUCUGGGCAUCGAACUUGGGUCCUUGCACUUGUGCAGCAGGCAGCGAAACCACUGAGCUAAAUCCUCAGCCCAAAAUGGCUCUUUUUCAACAUGUGAGGGUCAAACAUUUUCCAGUGCUUAAGAAUACAUUCCAGGGCCAGGAUUUAGCUCAGUGGUUCCACCGCCUGCCUCGAAAGUGCAAGGUCUUGAAUUCGAUCCCUGGUACAUAAAACAAAAAAAGAAUACAUUCCAAAGGAGUAGGAAAUUUUGACAUUGAGUAUCCCAUUUGAAACAAGAAAAAGAAGCUGGCAUCCCUUUUAAUUUCUACUUGAUUCUUGUAUCUGCAAAGCAUCUCCGAGAUGACUACUCCAGAGUGGGAGCCAACCUCUGGAGAGAAACUAUAAGAUAGGUCAGGAUAAGUUAAGCCACCGUUACUGGCUCAAGACCCUGUCUUCCCCAAGAAACUCAUAUUCCUUAUUCUAGCAGAUGUUUCUAAAAGCUCAAGCUAUAACUGAUUCUAUCUGUAAAAAACAUUGCCAACAAACCAAUAUCAAGAGAUCUAACUCAUUAUUUUCUAAUUCUUUGAAAGAGAGUUAAAAAAUAUCAAAGAGCAAGUUGGAAAUAGUUGGAGCACUUCUCAGCCUAUAAAAGAGAUCACCACGGGCCGGGGAUUUAGCUCAGUGGUUUCGCCGCCUGCUGCGCAAGCACAAGGACCCGAGUUCAAUCCCCAGUACCAAAAAAAAAAAAAGAGAGAUCACCUCUAGAAAUAGAGUCAGGUAAAAUGGCUCAGAGAAAUCUUGCCCUGGGCCUGAGGUCAGAAAAGCCUCUAAGACAUUCCUGUUAUCUACAUAAUCACCUCAGCAACCUUCUCUUGGGCCAGUAGGCUGAAAGGAAGCUGAUCAGGCAAGGUUCUCAAUGAAAAGAAUGUCCAUGGAGCAGACAUUACAAAGCAGGAACCAAACUUUAAUCUUACAGCAUACCACUUAUAGUGGCUGUUACCAUUUUCUCUGAGACACAGUAAGACAAAACAGCCGUGUGACUUUGCAUAGCCAUGUGGUAUGUGCAUGGUCGUCCAUGCUGAUUUAUUAUUAUUAUAACAAACUCCUCAUGCACCUGCACUAAUGACAGAGUUGAGUCCUCAGGUGCCUCAAGUGCCCUCAGUCACCCAGGCUUUGACACAUCUGCCAGUGGCCCCCUGCACCUUCCUUAGCAGCAGGACAAGGCUACACUUUAUUCAAGGUCUAAUCUAAAAUUUCUGUCUCUGAAGCCCACAGGUUAAACUUAUACUCAUCACCCAGCAACCACAAUUCACAUGUUAGUAAAGGCACAUUUAUCAGGUUUUUGUGCACACGUGAAAGAAGAGAAAGGCUGACUAAAAUCCCAUUUUUACUCUUAGCAUAUAUAAAGCACAAAUGUAAAUCACUAGCUGAUUGCUGUUCUCCAUGAAAGGUAAAUGGUUGUUGUAAGCUGCCUCAUCCUGACUUCCUGGAAGGAGAGGGGGUCUAACUACAAGAUAGUUCUAAAGUUAACUCCCAAACAGUUGAAGAAAAGCUUAGGGGGAGUUUUUCACUUACUAGCAGAAAGAAAAGGUACAGAUAAAAGCCAAAGAUGUCUAAAACCUACCCCCAAAAAAAUUAUUACAUAGCAUUUGACAAGUUCACAGUAAAAGUUUUAAAGUGUACAACUUAUUUGCAAAAGUAUUUCCCUCCCUUACCCACAAAAAUCAUGAAAACCAGAUGUAGGGGAGAGAGAGAGAGAGAGAGAGUGAGCGCGCGCGCCAGCCAGGAUGUUAGUGAUUCUCUUAAACUAAAUAAGAGAAUCACUAAAUGUCCCUUAAAUGUCAUGCUUAGGAAAUAGCUCCUUUUAGUCUCACCCAGAAGUUGGUUCUUUUCACUGGGUCUCAGGUUCAGUCUCCAAGGAAGACUUGCCCAGAACACUGAGGAUGGAAAUCACUCGUUUUUUUUUUUUUUUGGUACCAGGGAUCGAACUUGGGUCCUUGCACUUCCGCGAGGCAGGUGGCAGAACCACUGUGCUAAAUCCUCGGCCCUAGGACAUCACUUUUAUGGUGUUCUCUUGGACGGACUAAGUCUCAAUGUCUCAUCAGACCCAGAGAUGGGAAAUUUCAGUCUUUGCAUGGUUGGAGGCAUGAUAGAACGGCCUGGCCAGAAGAAAACUGCUCAUCUCAUGGCAGAUAGGAAGCAAGAGAGAAGAAAAGGAGGAGCUGGGGAGGGAGAUACACCCUUCUAGAUCAUACCGCCAGGACCUACCUCUUCCAAUCAGACCCCACCUUGCAAUAGCAAGUCACCCAUAUAUCUCCAUAUUCCAAUCCCCUUCCAAACACCUGAAGCCUUGAGGAUCAUUUUAGAUCUAAACUCUUACAGUACCCAAGGCCUGAAUUGUAGUAGUUCACAUGUCAGAGGAAAAGGGUUCAGCCUGAGGUAGAAGUGACAGAGAUGGAGACAGAAGGAGAAAUUUGAGGUAUAUUUUGCAGAUAGAAAUGACACUCCUCAUAAGCAUGUGGGAGAGGAAAAUGUUUUUGUCUCCCCUUUCAGGCAUAUUGGAAGUUACAUUUCCAUUCUCUACAUACCUCCCCCACACACCUGUAUGUUACUGGGAAUUAAACCCAGGGUCUUCAUACUGAGCUACAUUUUCACACCAUUUUAUUUUUUAUUUUAUUUUUUAUUUUAUUUUAUUUUUCAGACAGUAGAUGGAGUGAUUGAUCAGGGUUUAAUGAUUUUUGGAUCUCCUUUUCCUUGGAGGUGAGGUGGGGACACAUAAUAGGUUGAUAGAGAUAUUUCCCAUCUUCAAAAACCUUACUGAAAAUGAAACCAGAAAAUUCAUUUAAAGUUAUGAAAAAUACAUUGACUGACCUUUGAAGUUCAAGUAAGCCCAAAAUGAGCAGGAUAAUUAAGACAAGUGAAAAGGCUAAGAAAAUAUAUGAAGCUUGACUAAUAAGCAUGUUUAAAAUAAAUAAUGUAUUUUCAUGAGUUAUUGAUGAUCUUAUAAUUCACGAUUGCUGAGAAAUUAACAAAAGAUGAUUUAUAAAAGGUCAUCAAGAGCAUGUAAGAAGGCGACAGCUCAUUGCUUACCUUCUAAUUAGAGAUGUAGAAAGAAGAUAAGCAGAGGGAAAAAAGGGAGAAGGUAUACUAGAAAAGGGUAUAGACUCAUUUAAUAAUGACCCCACCCCUCAAGUUUUUAUCCUUCCAGCCAAUCAAAAAGUAAUGUACUGGGCCGGGGAUUUAGCUCAGUGGUGCUGCUGCCUGCCUCGCAAGCACAAGGUCCUGAGUUCAAUCCCCAGUGCCAAAAAAAAAAGUGAUGUACUAUAUAGGAAGUAAGAUCUUUGCAGAUGUAGUGAAUUGAGGCCAUACCAGAUUAGGGUGGGUCCUAAAUCUAGUAUUACUUGUGUUCUUACAAGAAGAGGGGGAAAAAAAAGAAAGAAGAGGGGAGAACACUGAGAUACUCGGAGACACACAGGGAAGAAACCCAUAUGACAAGAGGCAGAGGUGGAGUCAUAGAGCUUCAAGCCCAGAAGCCAGUUGCCAGCAGCCACCAGAAACUAAGAUACCCGUGAACCUUGUUCUUCCCAGAGCCUCAGAGCAAGCUCUGCCUCCCUGGCACCUUGACCCUAGCCUCUGGAAGAGGUGAGAGAGUAUUUUGUAUUUCCACUGCUUUAAGUCACCUCAGUUUUGGCUUUAUUACUGCAGCCUGAGGAAACUAGUACAUAUAUCAAAAACACAUGUAUUUUUUAAAUUAGUGUUUAAUUCAGAAAGUGUGUGGUCCCUUAAAGACUAUGGAAUAAUCACGAUAAGAACCAUGCUUUUUAACUCAAAUAUUAAAUUCAAUAUUUAUAUUUGGAAAAGUCAGUGAGCAACGUAGAAUUCAGUCAUAUAUCUGAAUACCUAUUCUGUUCAAUAAAUUAUUGGAAGAUCAGAGUGCUAAGAGUGAGGAUUGAUUAAGAAUUUUAUAAAUUAUAGGCCUCAAAUAACUUCACUUGGUGCAAUAAAAGAAGAUAUAUUAUUAUAAAGUACUAAAUUGAACUGUAACUAAGGAUUGAAAAGAAAGGCACAAAUACUGAUGUUUAUGAAGCAUUAAAGAAGAUAUAAAAAGUGGGAAAUGCAGCUAGGCAUGGUGAAUACUCCUGAAAUCCCAGCUCUCUGGGGAGCUGAGGAGAAGGAUCAGAAGUUUGAUUUCUAGGAAGCAUAUUUAUUAACUUUAGCCUUUUCUUUAUAUGAUGCUUUAUAACCAUUAGUAUUUGUGCCUUCCUUUUCAGUCCUUAGCUACAGUUCCUUUAGUACUUUAUACUAUCUUCUUUAUUGCACUAAAUUAAGUUACUUAGCAAGGCCCUAUCUGAAAAUAAAAAAUGGAUGAGGAUGUUGCUUAAUGAAAACAAAGGCUCAGUGCAAAGGUUCAAUCCCCAGUACCAUAAGAAAAGAAAAAAAUUCAAAGGUUUUGUAGCACAUUCUUGAAUGCAAAUGUUGAUGUUUUCAUUUCAAAUUAAUUAUUUUUAUUUAGUAUACUCCAUUUUCUAAUUGCUCUUGUUUAAUGCAGCAAUAAGCUCAAACGUUUUAUUAUUUGAAAUUACAGUUAAUGUUCAAUUAUCACUUACUUUAAAGUCUAUUUUUUAAUUUUAAAAUCAUCACUGUUCAUAUCCUAACAUUCAACUGAUUAAAAUUGGUUGUUACAUGUGUGGGAAGUCACCCUAUUGAAUUAUAGUUUAGUGCAUCUAUCUUCAAUUGCAUAAUCAUUAUUUUCAUAGUGCCAUUUUAAAUAUUCUAGUAUAAACCACCAUUGUUUGUUAAAAUAUGUAGAUACACAGAAAAAUAUUGGGAAUUUUUACUUAGGUUCCCUUAACUCACUGAUAUUUUUUAAAAGAGCUAACAGACCCCCCCCAGGACACACAACUUGGAGUCUAAUAUCACUUUGCAAUAAAAGAAACUAAGCUCCUUAGAGAAAUGGCUGACUAUAGGAGUGGAACACAGAAUGUACAAGAUGAGCCUGGAAUGUAUUGUAUUUCCUGAAAGUGAGGGGUUGUUCAAAAUACACACACACACACACAUACACAGAUGGAGCCUACCAGAAAGACAUGGGAGCUUUCCAGAAAAAGCUUUCAGUGGCCAGUGCUGGAACAAAACAGACAGUGUCAUGUUGGAUCAUAACCCACUAAAUAAAAUAAAUAUCCAUGAGUCCAUACUCAUGGGCUAAUAAAUAAGUAAAAGCAGAGAAGAGAGAAAUCUGUAUAAAUGAUUUCAAAUAACUUGUUUAUGCAUUCCAAUCUUGAAGGAGCAGAUCUGAUUUCUCUAUCCCAUGAGUAUGGGUUGUGCAUAGUGCAUUGUUUCCAAAGAGUAUAGUGUGCAAAAGUAGGGGGGAAUGUAAUUACAAUGGAGGAACAUGGCCAGGUAAUCAAAAGUAGCAUUAUCCGUGAUGAGGCAAGCUGCUAAUGGGUGCCCUUGAGAAGAUGUGGUGAAGAUGGCCCUUCACCUCAUUGAUCUUCCAUCACCCCAACCCACAAUCCCAGUGUAAGCAUAAGAAAAACAUCAGACAAGCCAAAAUGGAGGGCAAAGAUUUAGAGUUAAGAAUCUGCACAAACCAAUUCACUUUAGCCAAGACAGAGAAGCAGACUAGAUGCCCAUCAGCAGAUGAAUGGAUAAAAUGUGGUCCAGAAACACAUAAUGGAAUAUAUGCACACAGUGGAGUAUUAUUCCUCCACAAAGAAGAAUGAAAUUCUGUCAUUUGCAAGAAAAUGGAUGGGUCCAAGACUGUCAUGUUCAAAAGAAUAAGCCUAAAGUCUCUAAAGACAAAUAUUGCAUACUCUCCCUGAAAUCUAAAAAGGAUGACAAGAAAGUAGAAGGGAGACUGUUACUAGACAAGAGAAAGGGAGUGAGUGAGAAGAGGGGUGUAUGGGAAGAUAAAUGGAGGCGUGGUGAUAUGAGCAGAAUAUGCCUAUUGAAAGCCCAAGAAUCUGAAACUAAGGGAGAGGGUAGAGCAAGCAGGGUGAUGGAGGUGAGUGUUACCAAGUGUGCGAUGUGCAUAUACAUGUCUGCCAAAAUGAAACCCAUUCAUUGUAAUUUUUUAACAAUGCACAGAGGCCAAGGCAAUCAGAUAGGGCUAUCCAGGGAACCAGCCUUGCACUUCUGCAGAGAGAUCCUUAGAGAACCUCAGCAAAGUGGUUUUGGUUUUUGGUUUUGGGGCGGUUGGGGGUUGGUACCGGGGAUGAAACUCAGGACCUUGCACUGUCGAGGCAGGCGGAACCACUGAUCUAAAUCCCUGGCCCCUUUAGCUAAGUGUUGAUGCGCUUGGAGUGAACCAACUAUAGAGGCCAAAGGAAGCAAGCAACAUAACCCUUGGGCUCACUGAGGGCUUGGGAUAUCUAUUCCUACCAGCCAAGGUGGAAGACACAACUCAUGGAACCAUCAAGGAGAAAGAAGCCACAGAAGGCUGCUGCCUCACAGAGGGGCAUGUGAGCCAUGGAAGAAAGCUUUGAAUGAAAAAAGAUCAAACUACUUUUAAGGAAAUCAACCACAUCCCAAAGCCAAGCUCAACACAGUUUAAGAA
Molecule: long non-coding RNA, 8065 nt
Filed under: Heterocephalus glaber (naked mole-rat)
Lineage: Eukaryota; Metazoa; Chordata; Mammalia; Rodentia; Bathyergidae
Description: lncRNA (ENSHGLG00100033001.1)
Source: RNAcentral